CAGCCGCCGCGGGAAUACAGAGGGUGCGAGCGUUAAUCGGAUUUACUGGGCGUAAAGCGUGCGUAGGCGGCUUUUUAAGUCGGAUGUGAAAUCCCUGAGCUUAACUUAGGAAUUGCAUUCGAUACUGGGAAGCUAGAGUAUGGGAGAGGAUGGUAGAAUUCCAGGUGUAGCGGUGAAAUGCGUAGAGAUCUGGAGGAAUACCGAUGGCGAAGGCAGCCAUCUGGCCUAAUACUGACGCUGAGGUACGAAAGCAUGGGGAGCAAACAGGAUUAGAUACCCGGGUAGUCCUGUCUCUUAUACA
Molecule: ribosomal RNA, 301 nt
Filed under: uncultured bacterium
Lineage: Bacteria
Description: partial 16S ribosomal RNA
Rfam family: Bacterial small subunit ribosomal RNA
Source: RNAcentral